Molecule: unclassified non-coding RNA, 336 nt
Filed under: Hevea brasiliensis (rubber tree)
Lineage: Eukaryota; Viridiplantae; Streptophyta; Magnoliopsida; Malpighiales; Euphorbiaceae
Source: RNAcentral
AGGAACGAGUUCAGCCUCGAGUCGAAGUCUACGAUCGGGGUUGAGUUUGCGACGCGGACUCUUUCUGUUGACGGGAAGGUGAUCAAGGCUCAGAUCUGGGAUACAGCUGGGCAGGAACGGUACCGAGCCAUCACAAGUGCUUACUACCGAGGAGCCGUCGGCGCAUUACUAGUGUACGACGUCACUCGCCAUUCUACAUUCGAGAACGUCGAGCGAUGGCUGAAGGAGCUAAGGGUACACACUGAUCCAAAUAUAGUCGUCAUGCUUAUCGGGAACAAGUCCGAUCUCCGCCACCUUGUCGCUGUUUCAACUGAGGAUGCGAAAACCUUUGCUGAG